AGGACGAACGCUGGCGGCGUGCUUAACACAUGCAAGUCGAGCGGAAAGGCCCUUCGGGGUACUCGAGCGGCGAACGGGUGAGUAACACGUGAGCAAUCUGCCUUUAGCUCUGGGAUAGCUCCGGGAAACCGGGAUUAAUACCGGAUAAGACCACUUUAGACAUCUGUUGUGGUGGAAAGAAUUUCGGCUAGAGAUGAGCUCGCGGCCUAUCAGCUUGUUGGUGGGUAACGCCCACAAGGCGACGACGGGUA
RNAcentral lists this ribosomal RNA (251 nucleotides) under uncultured bacterium. RNAcentral describes it as "partial small subunit ribosomal RNA". It matches the Rfam family "Bacterial small subunit ribosomal RNA", at positions 26 to 285 of the family's 1533-position model. The record is from RNAcentral.